CCUACGGUGGGCAGCAGUAGGGAAUAUUGCUCAAUGGGGGAAACCCUGAAGCAGCAACGCCGCGUGGGGGAUGACGGUUUUCUGAUUGUAAACUCCUUUUGUUAGAGAAGAUAAUGACGGUAUCUAACGAAUAAGCACCGGCUAACUCCGUGCCAGCAGCCGCGGUAAUACGGAGGGUGCAAGCGUUACUCCGAAUCACUGGGCGUAAAGAGCGCGUAGGCGGGAUAGCAAGUCAGAUGUGAAAUCCUAGGGCUUAACCAUAGAACUGCAUUUGAAACUGUUAUUCUAGAGUAUGGGAGAGGUAGGUGGAAUUCUUGGUGUAGGGGUAAAAUCCGUAGAGAUCAAGAGGAAUACUCAUUGCGAAGGCGACCUGCCAGAACAUAACUGACGCUGAUGCGCGAAAGCGUGGGGAGCAAACAGGAUUAGAUACCCCAGUAGUC
Molecule: ribosomal RNA, 440 nt
Filed under: uncultured bacterium
Lineage: Bacteria
Description: partial 16S ribosomal RNA
Rfam family: Bacterial small subunit ribosomal RNA
Source: RNAcentral